Molecule: ribosomal RNA, 407 nt
Filed under: uncultured bacterium
Lineage: Bacteria
Description: bacterial SSU rRNA
Rfam family: Bacterial small subunit ribosomal RNA
Source: RNAcentral
UGGGGGAUAUUGCACAAUGGGCGAAAGCCUGAUGCAGCAACGCCGCGUGAGGGAAGACGGUUUUCGGAUUGUAAACCUUUGUCUUCGGUGACGAAAUAAAUGACGGUAGCCGGGGAGGAAGCCACGGCUAACUACGUGCCAGCAGCCGCGGUAAUACGUAGGUGGCGAGCGUUGUCCGGAAUUACUGGGUGUAAAGGGAGCGCAGGCGGGGAGACAAGUCAGCUGUGAAAACUACCGGCUUAACCGAUAGAUUGCAGUUGAAACUGUUUUUCUUGAGUGGAGUAGAGGCAGGCGGAAUUCCGAGUGUAGCGGUGAAAUGCGUAGAUAUUCGGAGGAACACCGGUGGCGAAGGCGGCCUGCUGGGCUCUAACUGACGCUGAGGCUCGAAAGUGUGGGGAGCAAACAGG